GAGUUUGAUUAUGGCUCAGAACUAACGCUGGCGGCGUGCCUAACACAUGCAGGUCGUACGAGAAAGUCGGCUUCGGCCGAUAAGUAAAGUGGCGCACGGGUGAGUAACACGUGGAUAACCUCCCCUUCAGUCGGGAAUAACCUACCGAAAGGUUUGCUAAUACCCGAUAACAGCGGUCCAUUCCGAUGGAUCGGUCAAAGAUGGCCUCUGCUUGCAAGCUAUCGCUGAUGGAUGGGUCCGCGUACCAUUAGCUAGUUGGUAGGGUAAUGGCCUACCAAGGCUGUGAUGGUUAGCUGGUCUGAGAGGAUGACCAGCCACACUGGAACUGAGACACGGUCCAGACUCCUACGGGAGGCAGCAGUGAGGAAUAUUGCGCAAUGGGGGAAACCCUGACGCAGCGACGCCGCGUGAGUGAGGAAGGCCUUCGGGUCGUAAAGCUCUGUCAGAUGGGAAGAAAUGGUUGAGUGCUAAUAUCGCUCAUCCUUGACGGUACCAUCAGAGGAAGCACCGGCUAACUCCGUGCCAGCAGCCGCGGUAAUACGGAGGGUGCAAGCGUUGUUCGGAAUUAUUGGGCGUAAAGCGCGUGUAGGCGGUAGGGUAAGUCAGAUGUGAAAGCCCUGGGCUCAACCCAGGAAGUGCAUUUGAAACUGCUCUGCUAGAGUGGGGGAGAGGAAAGUGGAAUUCCUGGUGUAGAGGUGAAAUUCGUAGAUAUCAGGAGGAACACCGGUGGCGAAGGCGGCUUUCUGGCCCUUCACUGACGCUGAGACGCGAGAGCGUGGGUAGCAAACAGGAUUAGAUACCCUGGUAGUCCACGCCGUAAACGAUGUUCACUAUGUGUUGGGGGUAUUGACCCCCUCAGUGCCGCAGCUAACGCAUUAAGUGAACCGCCUGGGGAGUACGGUCGCAAGAUUAAAACUCAAAGGAAUUUGACGGGGGCCCGCACAGCGGUGGAGCAUGUGGUUAUUUCGAUGCAACGCGCAGACCUUACCUGGGCUUGACAUCCCGAGAUCUGAUGAAGUCGGGAGUGCCCAUCCGGUCUCGAGACGUGCUGCAUGGCUGUCGUCAGCUCGUUCCUUGAAUGUUGUCAAGUACCGCACGAGCCAAUCUAAUCCUUUAAUGCAC
RNAcentral lists this ribosomal RNA (1122 nucleotides) under uncultured Pseudomonadota bacterium. RNAcentral describes it as "bacterial SSU rRNA". It matches the Rfam family "Bacterial small subunit ribosomal RNA", at positions 9 to 1120 of the family's 1533-position model. Lineage: Bacteria; Pseudomonadati; Pseudomonadota. RNAcentral also lists the same sequence under 1 other name. The record is from RNAcentral.